This 794-nucleotide long non-coding RNA is filed under the name Brassica rapa (field mustard). RNAcentral's name for it is "long non-coding RNA (BRAP_LNC002102)". The record is from RNAcentral. Lineage: Eukaryota; Viridiplantae; Streptophyta; Magnoliopsida; Brassicales; Brassicaceae.
CGCUACUUGUUCUCUAUGUAUAUUCUGUCAAAAUUCAAAAUUGGUAAUAAAAUUUAACAUUUUAUCAAAAAAAAUUUUUUUAAGUCGUAAAAUACCGGUUUGGAAAUCUACCGUUAAACUCAAUAUGUCCUCUCUCUCCUCCCUCUGGUUUCUCCGCCUUCUCUCCUUCUAUUUGCAGUCGAGUUUCUCUGAUGACCGGUGCAUGGUGGUUUCGUUAACGCCAGUGCCUGUCCCAAUCUGCUUAGUUUUCCUUCUAGUUUAGCAUAUGUUCGGCGUGUAGCGAGUAGAAUCUAUUUUGAUGGAGAUUUUGGUUGGAAAAACUUAGCUUUCUUUCUCAGAUAUGUGUUAGAUUUCUGAAGUGAAAAUAUCGGAUCGGUAGAUCAACGGUUUGUUUCUCCAUUCCUUUCUCUAUCUUGUUAUUGGUGGGAUUUUGGGUGGGCUUGUUCACUUUUUUGGAAGCUGCUGUGGAUUCUUUCCAGUUAUGUAGUGAGCCAGUCAUGUGGGAUUGGUUUCUCUCAGUUCGGUUAGGCUUGGCUCCUUGUUUCUCUGUCAGAUUUUGUUUUCAGUUGUCUUUAUCUUUCUUUACUGUCAUGUGUUUGUGUUUGUUGGGAUCCCUUGUAUGAGCUUAGUUUCUAGGGUUGGUUCUGUGUGAUUGCUGGCUUGUGUACCGGAUGUAAUUUUUUCGGUGUAAAAACACUAUCUUGUAAUCCUUCGUGUUUUUUCUUAAUAAAAUCAGGUGAAAAAAAGAGUUGUAAAAUAUAAAGUAUUAAUAUUACAGUUCUCUUAAGUUGAUU